UACGUAGGGUGCGAGCGUUGUCCGGAAUUAUUGGGCGUAAAGAGCUCGUAGGCGGUUUGUCGCGUCGGCUGUGAAAAACCUGGGGCUCAACCCCGGGCCUGCAGCCGAUACGGGCAAACUAGAAUUCGGUAGGGGAGACUGGAAUUCCCGGUGUAGCGGUGAAAUGCGUAGAGAUCGGGAGGAACACCAGUGGCGAAGGCGGCGCCUGGGCCAAUAUUGACGCUGAGGUGCGAAAAGCGUGGGGGAGCAAACAGG
RNAcentral lists this ribosomal RNA (255 nucleotides) under uncultured bacterium. RNAcentral describes it as "partial 16S ribosomal RNA". It matches the Rfam family "Bacterial small subunit ribosomal RNA", at positions 524 to 776 of the family's 1533-position model. The record is from RNAcentral.